GACGGAGGUGGCGAGCGUUGUUCGGAAUUACUGGGCUUAAAGGGAGCGUAGGCGGUAUGCUAAGUCGCCGGUGGAAGUUCGGGGCUCAACCCCGAAAUGUCCUGCGAAACUGGUGUACUUGAGUUGUCCAGGGGAUGGCGGAAUUCCAGGUGUAGCGGUGAAAUGCGUAGAUAUCUGGAGGAAGGCCUGUGCCGAAGGGGGCCAUCUGGGGACACACUGACGCUGAGGCUCGAGAGCGUGGGUAGCAAACAGG
Molecule: ribosomal RNA, 253 nt
Filed under: uncultured bacterium
Lineage: Bacteria
Description: partial 16S ribosomal RNA
Rfam family: Bacterial small subunit ribosomal RNA
Source: RNAcentral